RNAcentral lists this unclassified non-coding RNA (140 nucleotides) under uncultured Ascomycota. RNAcentral describes it as "sequence contains ITS1". Lineage: Eukaryota; Fungi; Ascomycota. The record is from RNAcentral.
UCAAUUUUCGGGGGACUUCGGUCCCUGUCUGAACCCUUGUCUUUUGAGUACCAUUUGUUUCCUUGGUGGGCUUUGCCUGCCAACAGGACACCAUUGAACCUCUUGUAAUUGCAAUCAGCGUCAGAAAAACAUAAUAGUUA